This 253-nucleotide ribosomal RNA is filed under the name uncultured bacterium. Its description in RNAcentral is "partial 16S ribosomal RNA". It matches the Rfam family "Bacterial small subunit ribosomal RNA", at positions 524 to 776 of the family's 1533-position model. The record is from RNAcentral.
UACGUAGGUGGCAAGCGUUGUCCGGAAUUAUUGGGCGUAAAGCGCGCGCAGGCGGUCCUUUAAGUCUGAUGUGAAAGCCCACGGCUCAACCGUGGAGGGUCAUUGGAAACUGGGUGACUUGAGUGCAGAAGAGGAAAGCGGAAUUCCACGUGUAGCGGUGACAUUCGUAGAGAUGUGGAGGAACACCAGUGGCGAAGGCGGCUUUCUGGUUUGUAACUGACGCUGAGGCGCGAAAGCGUGGGGAGCAAACAGC